This 253-nucleotide ribosomal RNA is filed under the name uncultured bacterium. RNAcentral's name for it is "partial 16S ribosomal RNA". It matches the Rfam family "Bacterial small subunit ribosomal RNA", at positions 524 to 776 of the family's 1533-position model. The record is from RNAcentral.
CACGUAGGGUGCGAGCGUUGUCCGGAAUUAUUGGGCGUAAAGAGCUCGUAGGCGGUUCGUCGCGUCGGCUGUGAAAUCCCGAGGCUCAACCUCGGGUCUGCAGUCGAUACGGGCGGACUGGAGUUCGGCAGGGGAGACUGGAAUUCCUGGUGUAGCGGUGAAAUGCGCAGAUAUCAGGAGGAACACCAAUAGCGAAGGCAGCUCGCUGGGACGGUAUUGACGCUAAGGCGCGAAAGCGUGGGGAGCAAACAGG